AGUGUAGGCGGUUUGAAAAGUCGGGUGUGAAAGCCCAGGGCCCAACCCUGGAACUGCAUCCGAUACUGUCAGGCUAGAGUCCCGGAGAGGGUGGCGGAAUUCCCGGUGUAGGGGUGAAAUCCGUAGAUAUCGGGAGGAACACCAGUGGCGAAGGCGGCCACCUGGACGGUGACUGACGCUGAGACUCGAAAGUGUGGGUAGCAAACAGGAUUAGAUACCCUGGUAGUCC
This 229-nucleotide ribosomal RNA is filed under the name uncultured bacterium. RNAcentral describes it as "partial 16S ribosomal RNA". It matches the Rfam family "Bacterial small subunit ribosomal RNA", at positions 568 to 796 of the family's 1533-position model. The record is from RNAcentral.